RNAcentral lists this ribosomal RNA (274 nucleotides) under uncultured bacterium. Its description in RNAcentral is "partial 16S ribosomal RNA". It matches the Rfam family "Bacterial small subunit ribosomal RNA", at positions 523 to 796 of the family's 1533-position model. The record is from RNAcentral.
AUACGGAGGGUGCAAGCGUUAUUCGGAAUCACUGGGCGUAAAGGACGCGUAGGCGGGUUGGCAAGUCAGAUGUGAAAUCCUACAGCUUAACUGUAGUACUGCAUUUGAAACUGCUAACCUAGAGUAUGGGAGGGGGAGAUGGAAUUAGUGGUGUAGGUGUAAAAUCCGUAGAUAUCACUAGGAAUACCGAAAGCGAAGGCGAUCUCCUGGAACAUAACUGACGCUAGGGCGUGAAAGCGUGGGGAGCAAACAGGAUUAGAAACCCUAGUAGUCC